Molecule: ribosomal RNA, 253 nt
Filed under: uncultured bacterium
Lineage: Bacteria
Description: partial 16S ribosomal RNA
Rfam family: Bacterial small subunit ribosomal RNA
Source: RNAcentral
UACGUAGGGUGCAAGCGUUAAUCGGAAUUACUGGGCGUAAAGCGUGCGUAGGCGGCUAUGCAAGACAGAUGUGAAAUCCCUGGGCUUAACCUAGGAACUGCAUUUGUGACUGCAUUGCUAGAGUGUGGUAGAGGGAGAUGGAAUUCCGCAUGUAGCAGUGAAAUGCGUAGAUAUGCGGAGGAACACCAAUGGCGAAGGCAGCCCCCUGGGAUAACACUGACGCUCAUGCACGAAAGCGUGGGGAGCAAACAGG